This 1003-nucleotide ribosomal RNA is filed under the name Citrobacter sp. Ce119. Its description in RNAcentral is "partial 23S ribosomal RNA". It matches the Rfam family "Bacterial large subunit ribosomal RNA", at positions 1761 to 2760 of the family's 2925-position model. Lineage: Bacteria; Pseudomonadati; Pseudomonadota; Gammaproteobacteria; Enterobacterales; Enterobacteriaceae. The record is from RNAcentral.
CAUGGAGCUGAAAUCAGUCGAAGAUACCAGCUGGCUGCAACUGUUUAUUAAAAACACAGCACUGUGCAAACACGAAAGUGGACGUAUACGGUGUGACGCCUGCCCGGUGCCGGAAGGUUAAUUGAUGGGGUUAUCCGUAAGGAGAAGCUCUUGAUCGAAGCCCCGGUAAACGGCGGCCGUAACUAUAACGGUCCUAAGGUAGCGAAAUUCCUUGUCGGGUAAGUUCCGACCUGCACGAAUGGCGUAAUGAUGGCCAGGCUGUCUCCACCCGAGACUCAGUGAAAUUGAACUCGCUGUGAAGAUGCAGUGUACCCGCGGCAAGACGGAAAGACCCCGUGAACCUUUACUAUAGCUUGACACUGAACACUGGUCCUUGAUGUGUAGGAUAGGUGGGAGGCUUUGAAGCGUGGACGCCAGUCUGCGUGGAGCCAACCUUGAAAUACCACCCUUUAAUGGCUGGUGUUCUAACGUAGACCCGUAAUCCGGGUUGCGGACAGUGUCUGGUGGGUAGUUUGACUGGGGCGGUCUCCUCCUAAAGAGUAACGGAGGAGCACGAAGGUUAGCUAAUCCUGGUCGGACAUCAGGAGGUUAGUGCAAAGGCAUAAGCUAGCUUGACUGCGAGAGUGACGGCUCGAGCAGGUGCGAAAGCAGGUCUUAGUGAUCCGGUGGUUCUGAAUGGAAGGGCCAUCGCUCAACGGAUAAAAGGUACUCCGGGGAUAACAGGCUGAUACCGCCCAAGAGUUCAUAUCGACGGCGGUGUUUGGCACCUCGAUGUCGGCUCAUCACAUCCUGGGGCUGAAGUAGGUCCCAAGGGUAUGGCUGUUCGCCAUUUAAAGUGGUACGCGAGCUGGGUUUAGAACGUCGUGAGACAGUUCGGUCCCUAUCUGCCGUGGGCGCUGGAGAAUUGAGGGGGGCUGCUCCUAGUACGAGAGGACCGGAGUGGACGCAUCACUGGUGUUCGGGUUGUCAUGCCAAUGGCAUUGCCCGGUAGCUAAAUGCGGAA